RNAcentral lists this ribosomal RNA (715 nucleotides) under Rastrinus scutiger (roughskin sculpin). Its description in RNAcentral is "partial 12S ribosomal RNA". It matches the Rfam family "Bacterial small subunit ribosomal RNA", at positions 327 to 1345 of the family's 1533-position model. Lineage: Eukaryota; Metazoa; Chordata; Actinopteri; Perciformes; Cottidae. The record is from RNAcentral.
UGCCCUACAGCUCCCCGCCCGGAAGCAAGGAGCUGGUAUCAGGCACACCCUAUUGAGCCCAUGACACCUUGCUUAGCCACACCCUCAAGGGAACUCAGCAGUGAUAAACAUUAAGCCAUAAGUGAAAACUUGACUUAGUUAAAGCUAAGAGGGCCGGUAAAACUCGUGCCAGCCACCGCGGUUAUACGAGAGGCCCAAGUUGACAAACACCGGCGUAAAGAGUGGUUAAGUUAAAACACAUACUAAAGCCAAACGUCUUCAAGGCUGUUAUACGCAACCGAAGACAGGAAGUUCAACCACGAAAGUGGCUUUAUCUACCUGAACCCACGAAAGCUAAGGAACAAACUGGGAUUAGAUACCCCACUAUGCCUAGCCCUAAACAUUGAUAGUACUAUACACCCACUAUCCGCCCGGGAACUACGAGCAAUAGCUUAAAACCCAAAGGACUUGGCGGUGCUUUAGAUCCACCUAGAGGAGCCUGUUCUAGAACCGAUACCCCCCGUUCAACCUCACCCUUCCUUGUUUAACCCGCCUAUAUACCGCCGUCGUCAGCUUACCCUGUGAGGGAUUAAUAGUAAGCAAAGCUGGUACAACCUUAAACGUCAGGUCGAGGUGUAGCGUAUGGAGGGGGAAGAAAUGGGCUACAUUCGCUUCUACAGCGAACACGAAUGAUGCACUGAAACGUACAUCUGAAGGAGGAUUUAGCAGUAAGCAG